Lineus longissimus is the source of this 199-nucleotide small nuclear RNA. RefSeq annotates it as U2 spliceosomal RNA. The record is from RefSeq and is a predicted model, not a curated record. NCBI's taxonomy places the organism in Eukaryota, Metazoa, Nemertea, Pilidiophora, Heteronemertea, Lineidae. The transcript has a single exon.
CUUUAUUAUUAGAAUUUUUUUAAUGUCUGGGAUCUUGUUUUUUUAACCCUCAACAUAUUUCAUGAGUAUCAAGCAUGUUUUCAAACCUUGAUAUAUGACCUUUAAACUGAUUUUUGGACCUCGGCGAGAUGUCAGGGGCUUGCUCCGCUCUCGCCACGGGUUGGCCUGUUGCAGUACCUCCAGGAUCGGCCCAUAAUAA